Molecule: unclassified non-coding RNA, 329 nt
Filed under: uncultured fungus
Lineage: Eukaryota; Fungi
Description: partial contains 5.8S ribosomal RNA and internal transcribed spacer 2
Rfam family: 5.8S ribosomal RNA (bases 1-133)
Source: RNAcentral
UGGUUCUGGCAUCGAUGAAGAACGCAGCGAAAUGCGAUAAGUAAUGUGAAUUGCAGAAUUCAGUGAAUCAUCGAAUCUUUGAACGCACAUUGCGCCCAUUAGUAUUCUAGUGGGCAUGCCUGUUCGAGCGUCAUUUCAACCCUUAAGCCCUGUUGCUUAGCGUUGGGAGCCUACAGAUACCCUCUGUAGUUCCUUAAAGUUAGUGGCGGAGUCGGUUUCACACUCUAGACGUAGUAAAUUUUAUCUCGCCUAUAGAUGAGCCGGUCCCUUGCCGUAAAAACCCCUAAUUUCUAAAGGUUGACCUCGGAUCAGGUAGGAAUACCCGCUGA